AAGAAUGCGAUAUGCAAUGUGAAUUGCAGAACCAUGAAUCAUCGGAUCUUUGAACGCAACUGGCGCUGGUAUAACCAGCAUACUUGUUUCAGUGUGCCCAAACACAUAACAAUAAAAAUGUGAGAGAAAAUCUCUCAUGAAAUGCAUGCUCUCUGCAGCUGUCACAUUCAUAUGUGAGCUGAAGUGAGAAACCUGCCUUAUUCGCACCUGAAAUCAAGUAAGAUGACCCGCUGGACUUAA
Molecule: unclassified non-coding RNA, 240 nt
Filed under: uncultured fungus
Lineage: Eukaryota; Fungi
Description: sequence contains ITS1
Rfam family: 5.8S ribosomal RNA (bases 1-97)
Source: RNAcentral